RNAcentral lists this transfer RNA (73 nucleotides) under Necturus beyeri (Gulf Coast waterdog). Its description in RNAcentral is "tRNA-Ile". It matches the Rfam family "tRNA". From Rfam's summary of the family: Transfer RNA (tRNA) molecules are approximately 80 nucleotides in length. Their secondary structure includes four short double-helical elements and three loops (D, anti-codon, and T loops). Lineage: Eukaryota; Metazoa; Chordata; Amphibia; Caudata; Proteidae. The record is from RNAcentral.
AGGAAUUGUGCCCGAAAGACAAGGAUUACUUUGAUAGAGUAAAUAAUAGAGGUUCAACCCCUCUCACUUCCUU